RNAcentral lists this ribosomal RNA (468 nucleotides) under uncultured bacterium. Its description in RNAcentral is "partial 16S ribosomal RNA". It matches the Rfam family "Bacterial small subunit ribosomal RNA", at positions 28 to 507 of the family's 1533-position model. The record is from RNAcentral.
GACGAACGCUGGCGGCGGGCUUAACACAUGCAAGUCGAACGGAAAGGCCCUGCUUGUGUGGGGUUCUCGAGUGGCGAACGGGGGAGUAACACGUGAGUAACCUGCCCUUGACUUUGGGAUAACUUCAGGAAACGGGGGCUAAUACCGGAUAGCAGCUGCUGCUGCGGGGAGGGGGUUGGAAAGUUUCGGCGGGUGGGGCUGGACGCGCGGCUGAUCAGCUAGUUGGUGGGGGAGCGGCAUACCAAGGCUUUGGCGGGUAGCCGGCAUGGGAGGGUGGACGGGCACCAUGGGCCUGCGAUAGGCCCCAGUGUGCAACGGGAGGCAGCAGUGGGGAAUAUUGCCCAACGGGCGCACGCCUGAUGAAGCGGCGCCGCGUGCGGAAUGACGGCCUUCGGGUUGUGAACCGCUUUCGCCUGUGACGCAGCGUUAGUGACGGUAAUGGGUAAAGAAGCACCGGCUAACUACGUG